Molecule: transfer RNA, 72 nt
Filed under: Ictidomys tridecemlineatus (thirteen-lined ground squirrel)
Lineage: Eukaryota; Metazoa; Chordata; Mammalia; Rodentia; Sciuridae
Description: Spermophilus tridecemlineatus (thirteen-lined ground squirrel) tRNA
Rfam family: tRNA
About the family: Transfer RNA (tRNA) molecules are approximately 80 nucleotides in length. Their secondary structure includes four short double-helical elements and three loops (D, anti-codon, and T loops).
Source: Rfam by way of RNAcentral
AGUUGUGUGGCUCAAUGGUAGAGCACUUGCCUAGCAUGUGUGAGUCACUGGGUUCAAGUCUCAGCACCACAU